Mustela erminea (ermine) is the source of this 2367-nucleotide long non-coding RNA. RefSeq lists it as uncharacterized. The transcript is spliced from 4 exons. The record is from RefSeq and is a predicted model, not a curated record. Lineage: Eukaryota; Metazoa; Chordata; Mammalia; Carnivora; Mustelidae.
GAUCCCUUGCGGGCGUCUCCAGCCCCGGGGCAGCCGACGGUGCUGGCUGGCGGCAGCCAAGGCGUGCUGCGUUGGCCCGGAGGCUGGCAGACGCACCCGGCAGGCGCUGGGCCCAGCCACAUGAAAGGCAGAGCGCUCCACCCGCCAGCUGCCUUUAGCUGGGUUCUGACGCCGCCGUCAUGCACCCCAAGACCGGGCCAUCGAAGGGCCACCUUCCUCCCCAGGCAUAGGGAUCCUUAAGGAGCUCCAGCCCCGGGGCCGGGUGGCCCACAGUGGGAGCACACUGUUUCCCCUGCCAGGCUCCCAGGUUCCCAGGCUCCAAGACGAAGACGCGCACCAGCACCGAGGCUUUGCUGACUGACCGCUUGUCUCUUAAUUCUUGCCUGACAUAGACAUUCCCUGCCCAGGGAAGUGUUUGAUUUAUGUUGAGGUUUGAGUGUCCGGAUUUUGCUGACAGUUAUUCAAGUGAGUUCUUGGAUUCUCACAGUAACCCACUGUAGUGGAUAUUACUGCACCCCUUCCUUCCCAACACACCUUACAGGUGGGGAAACUGAGGCGCAGAGAAGGAAAGUGAUUUGCUCAAGGUGAACGGUGGAGCUGGGACUUGAACCUGGGCUGGAAUUACUCCAGAACAUCUGGCAGCCACAAUCUGGUGUACAAACAUGCUGGAAGCCUUGUUGGUGAAGCCGUGCCUUGACGGUGAUGAGACCCAGGUCUGCCCAUCUGUCAUAGCAUCUCAGACUCUUCUGGAAGGACCACCUGAUCAUCUUCUAGUCCGACAGCUAGGACCACUGCCUCGCAGGGAGUAUAGGUAACUUGUCUGAGCCGGUCCUGGGAAGGGCAGAGCUCAGCCUCUCCGUCCUUGUCUGUGGGAAAGAGGCCAGUUCUAGCAGUAGAGCUUGUUAUGGGGGACUCGGUUUCCCAAUCAUUGUCAUGACCAAUGGCCGGUAACCAUGAACUCUUCCCUCCUUUUCCUUCUGUCCAGCAAAUGCAGCAUCCCAAUGCAGCCAGUCGUGAAGAGAACAUUUCCAUAGGAAUUCUGCAAUAUGGAUUUCCUCUCCAGGCCCCAGUCCAGUCCAAGCCAGUUCCUCUUCUGGCUGGGAAGUUUCUUUCCUCUUCCCACUUCCAUGAAACUAUUAGGCUCAGCUCAAGCCCACUCCUUUCUCCCUUCUCCUCCUACCUUCCUCAGGCAGUAGCUCUCUCUUCUUCACAGCUCCUGGCUCUGCCGCCCCAUCCCCACCUCCACACCCCUGCUGGACCCCAGUCCCUCAGGAAUUCUCUAGAGUCACAUCAAGGAAUCCCACAGAUGCAUCCUGGACAACACAGGAAUGCCAAAGACAUUCCAGGCAAAAAAGGUUCUGGGAUCAAACCAUUUGGGCAAAGCUGCACACCAGACCUUCUUCUUCAAAAUUAAUGUGCAGUCAAGUCCUUGGAAAGGCUAGCAGUCAGGAAACUGUUUUGUUUGCUUUUUCAACCCAGGGUUUCUGGAACUGUGAUAACCACAUAAUCAUCUUCCCUGUCCCUACCGCAUACCUGUGACAACAGGAAAAAAACCAGUGAUCUACUGGAGAACACACUUCCGAAAAUUCUACCCCAGCCUUCCGCCCGAGUUUGCAGUUAAUCUCGCUUUCAUUGAUUUCAGCCUUUCCUUUUUCUUGGGGCUAAUCUCACAAAAUAAUCUAAGGCAAUGUCAGCCGAGUAGAGUCUUCAAGAAACAUAUACUUGAUGGGGAUGAAGAUUUUCUUAAGACUUGAUUAUGAUGCCCAGAAUACAUCAAGGAUUUUCUAGAAUGUGGGAGGAAGGGGAGUAGAAUUUGAAAUAACAGCAUAUCAUCUUUACCCAAUUUUUAUUAGUUUCCUAGUCAGAGGACCAAAGCCAGGGAUGGAAAGUAAUGGAGAAUAAUCAAACCAGACCUUGGUCACAGACAGAUUGUUUUUGAGUGAAUGAGUGAACAGACUUUCUGACUGGUCAGAAGUUUGGGAGGCUGUGAAUGAAUGCCUGCACGUACGUGUGAAUGAAUGAAGGAAGAUUGAAAAACUGGUCCCCAGAUUAGAACCUACCACCCAUGUUCAAUGGAAGAAGCCAGACAUAAACAGAGGACACUGUGAAUGUUUCUACUUAUAUGAAGGUCAAGAACAGAUCAAGCUACUCUACUAUGGAAAACACAGAGCUGUGGUUGCCUUUGUAGAGUAGGCAUUGACUGGAAAGGGAAAAAAGGGCUUUGGGGUGGAUAGAAAUAGUUUCUGUCUUGAUUCCGGGGAUGGUUACACUAGUGUAUACUUUUGUCAAAAUUCACCAAAUUGUACAUUUAAGAUCUGUGCACUUACCUGUAUUGUCCAUUUCAUCUAAAAAUAAAAAUCUGGCUAU